AAGUCGUAACAAGGUUUCCGUAGGUGAACCUGCGGAAGGAUCAUUAACACGUGAUACUCACGUAUUAACAACCCACCGAGAAUUUGUUAUUAUCCUAGUUUAAGAUGCAGGUAGACGAAGUGAGGAAAUGCUAUUGAUCGCAAGAUCAUGACUCAUUAGUCGUUCUUAGGUCCGCCCUGGAGCUUGCGCUGACAACUAGUUGACGAGUUACGACUGCUUAUUAAGCCUGUAGCAUAGCUUGCAGAUCGUAAUGACCUUUAUUAACCCCUUUUACUAUUAUUUACUGAUUUGUACGUUUAUAUGAAUUCCUGAUCGAAAGAUUGGUUGUAGUUUAUAUAGAUGUCGUAUAUUACUAAUACGAAACAACUCUUAGCAACGGAUAUCUUGGUUCUC
This 393-nucleotide unclassified non-coding RNA is filed under the name fungal sp. Its description in RNAcentral is "partial internal transcribed spacer region". The stretch from base 1 to 46 matches the Rfam family "Eukaryotic small subunit ribosomal RNA", at positions 1786 to 1831 of the family's 1831-position model. Lineage: Eukaryota; Fungi. The record is from RNAcentral.